Molecule: RNA transcript, 2095 nt
Organism: Vitis vinifera (wine grape)
Lineage: Eukaryota; Viridiplantae; Streptophyta; Magnoliopsida; Vitales; Vitaceae
Gene name: probable serine/threonine-protein kinase PBL21
Exons: 7
Source: RefSeq, a predicted model, not a curated record
CUUCAUUCCACAUCCACACACGGCCUCUAAAUUUAGCUCCCUUUUCUCCGUUUUGCCCUCGGAUCCACUUUUUUUAUAUGGUUAUGGAAAUUUCAGAUAUUAUUUUUAGGUUUUGGAUUUAUUUAUUUAUUGUUGUUGGUUAGGAUUGAUGACGGUGGUGGUGGGCGUGCUGUGAUUUUCUAGACUUUCGGUUCCUGAUCUCUCCCGGUUUGGGAGAGGGAAGGAUGAAGUCUUUAUUUUCUUAGGGUUAGGGUUUUGAUUUUUUUUUUUUAAAUAUUGUUUUUGUAUUUUAUUUUCUGGUUUGGACUGUUGUAUAAGAUUUGGCAUUGUUAUAAACUUGGAAUUUUAUUUAAAAAGAAAAGAAAAGAAAAGAAAAUCCGGGUUUUUGUUUCUCUGUGUAUUGUGCGUUGUUUGGUGAAGCAAUUUCACAGAUGAGUUGCCUUCCUUGUAUGAGUCCUAGGAAGAGGGACGUGAGCAGAAUAGAGGACGACAAUGGCACAACUGGUCCAUCAAGUUCUUGCCAUUCUAUUGAUGAUUCUUUGGGGACUACAAGGGGAAAGGGUUCUUUUGAUUCUAGUGACAAUGGAAAGGGAAAAGGGUCUCUGAACGGUAAAGCACACCCCAAAAGCAAUGCGGCCCGGAGCUUCACAUUCCGGCAGCUCGCCACAGCCACAAGAAACUUUAAGGCGACAAAUUUGAUCGGAGAAGGAGGAUUUGGAAAAGUUUACAAGGGCCGCUUAGAUACCGGCGAGAUUGUUGCCAUCAAACAACUCAACCAUGAUGGACUUCAGGGGUUUCAAGAAUUCAUUGUGGAGGUGCUCAUGUUAAGCCUCUUACACCAUUCUAAUCUCGUCACCUUGAUCGGUUACUGCACGGAUGGAGAUCAAAGACUAUUGGUUUACGAGUACAUGGCAAUGGGUAGCUUGGAGCAUCAUCUUUUUGAUCUGGGCCCUGACCAAGAACCAUUAGGAUGGAACACAAGGAUACAGAUUGCUGUUGGUGCCGCUCGAGGCCUGGAGUAUCUCCAUUGCAAAGCAAAUCCACCGGUGAUUUACCGGGAUUUGAAAUCUGCAAAUAUAUUGUUGGACAAUGAAUUCAAUCCUAAGCUCUCAGAUUUUGGGCUUGCUAAACUGGGACCUGUGGGUGACAAUACUCAUGUCUCAACAAGAGUGAUGGGCACAUAUGGAUACUGUGCCCCUGAGUAUGCCAUGAGUGGCAAACUGACUCUUAAAUCUGAUAUCUAUAGCUUUGGUGUGGUUCUCUUGGAGCUGAUUACGGGCCGGAAAGCAAUCGACACCUCUAAGAGGCAGGGAGAGCAGAACCUAGUUGCUUGGUCUCGUCCUUUUCUAAAAGACCGGAAAAAGUUUAUACAACUGGUGGAUCCCCAGCUGCAAGGGAACUUCCCGGUCCGAGCUUUGCACCAUGCUAUUGCCAUCACUGCAAUGUGUCUUCAGGAGCAACCAAACUUCCGGCCCCUUAUUGGCGAUAUUGUUGUCGCCCUCGAGUACUUAGCCUCCGAAAGCCACAGCUCCGAACCCCAUAGGAAUCAGGUCAGACUCCCAUCAUCAUCACCUUCACAAGGGAGCAGGAACAGUAACAGUUUUUUACAAGAACCAUAUUCUAGAAAUAUUUUUUAGAGGUUGGUGGACACAAGAUGCUGAAAAACUUUGAAGUUCACCAUUGAUGAGAAGAGAACGGUUCCAAAACACUUGCCACGCAAAUAAGAUGAAGAAUUCAGAUAUUGACACUUGGGAAAGCGAUGGUAAGCGAGCCCUGCAGCAUCUAGAUUUGGUUCGACUGCCUCGGCAUCGCGGAAACGCUGAGAAAAGAAUUUGAACUUUGAAGCAAUACCAUGAUCUGGCCCGUGUGAUUGGUUACCGAGAAAGUUGAACAGACGGCGCAGACCAGAAAGGAGCUGAACUCUUUCUUCUAUAAGCCUCCAUCAUAUCACCAUUCAAAUGCUAGGAUUUAGUGUGUGGGUUCUAUUUAACUUUUUCCAGGUAAUUUGUUAAUGGUUUUGUUGUUGAGCCUUCUGUUCAUAAUGAUAAUAGUAAUGGCAAUAUAAAAAAAAAGUUUUUUGACUUAUUAUUCUACA